GACUCUUAAAAGAAGGCCCUGAGUGUGCCGAAUCUCAUCUGAUCUCGGAAGCUACGCAGGGUCGGGCUUGGUUAGUACUUGGACAGGAGACCACCUAGGAAUACCAGGUGCUGUAGGCA
Molecule: ribosomal RNA, 119 nt
Filed under: Pteropus alecto (black flying fox)
Lineage: Eukaryota; Metazoa; Chordata; Mammalia; Chiroptera; Pteropodidae
Source: RNAcentral